Molecule: ribosomal RNA, 915 nt
Filed under: uncultured Methanosaeta sp.
Lineage: Archaea; Methanobacteriati; Methanobacteriota; Methanomicrobia; Methanotrichales; Methanotrichaceae
Description: bacterial SSU rRNA
Rfam family: Archaeal small subunit ribosomal RNA
Source: RNAcentral
UUCCGGUUGAUCCCGCCGGAGGUUACUGCUAUCGAGGUUCGACUAAGCCAUGCGAGUCGGAUGUAGCAAUACAUGGCGAACUGCUCAGUAACACGUGGACAACCUGCCCUUAGGACGGGGAUAAACCCGGGAAACUGGGUAUAAUACCCGAUAGGUCUCGAUUGCUGGAAUGCAUCGAGAUUUAAAGCUCCGGCGCCUAAGGAUGGGUCUGCGGCCUAUCAGGUAGUAGUGGGUGUAGCGUACCUACUAGCCUACGACGGGUACGGGUUGUGAGAGCAAGAGCCCGGAGAUGGAUUCUGAGACACGAAUCCAGGCCCUACGGGGUGCAGCAGGCGCGAAAACUUUACAAUGCUGGCAACAGCGAUAAGGGAACCUCGAGUGCCAGGUUACAAAUCUGGCUGUCGAGAUGCCUAAAAAGCAUUUCAUAGCAAGGGCCGGGCAAGACCGGUGCCAGCCGCCGCGGUAACACCGGCGGCUCGAGUGGUAACCGUUAUUAUUGGGUCUAAAGGGUCUGUAGCCGGCCGGAUAAGUCUCUUGAGAAAUCUGGCAGCUUAACUGUCAGGCUUUCAGGAGAUACUGUCUGGCUCGAGGCCGGGAGAGGUGAGAGGUACUUCAGGGGUAGGGGUGAAAUCUUGUAAUCCUUGAAGGACCACCAGUGGCGAAGGCGUCUCACCAGAACGGACCUGACGGCAAGGGACGAAAGCUAGGGGCACGAACCGGAUUAGAUACCCGGGUAGUCCUAGCCGUAAACGAUACUCGCUAGGUGUCGGCCACGGUGCGACCGUUGUCGGUGCCGUAGGGAAGCCGUGAAGCGAGCCACCUGGGAAGUACGGCCGCAAGGCUGAAACUUAAAGGAAUUGGCGGGGGAGCACCACAACGGGUGGAGCUUGCGGUUUAAUUGGAUUCAACGCCGGG